CAAAUUAAAGCUUAUAAAGUUUCUUAUUUACAUUAAGAAGAGAUUCAUUUAAUUGAAUUAAUUUGA
This 66-nucleotide transfer RNA is filed under the name Spilopyra sumptuosa. RNAcentral's name for it is "tRNA-Val". The record is from RNAcentral. Lineage: Eukaryota; Metazoa; Arthropoda; Insecta; Coleoptera; Chrysomelidae.